GACGAACGCUGGCGGCGUGCUUAACACAUGCAAGUCGAACGGAAAGGCCCUGCUUUUGUGGGGUGCUCGAGUGGCGAACGGGUGAGUAACACGUGAGUAACCUGCCCUUGACUUUGGGAUAACUUCAGGAAACUGGGGCUAAUACCGGAUAGGAGCUCCUGCUGCAUGGUGGGGGUUGGAAAGUUUCGGCGGUUGGGGAUGGACUCGCGGCUUAUCAGCUUGUUGGUGGGGUAGUGGCUUACCAAGGCUUUGACGGGUAGCCGGCCUGAGAGGGUGACCGGCCACAUUGGGACUGAGAUACGGCCCAGACUCCUACGGGAGGCAGCAGUGGGGAAUAUGGCACAGUGGGCGGAAGCCUGAUGCAGCAACGCCGCGUGCGGGAUGACGGCCUUCGGGUUGUAAACCGCUUUCGCCUGUGACGAAGCGUGAGUGACGGUAAUGGGUAAAGAAGCACCGGCUAACUACGUG
This 468-nucleotide ribosomal RNA is filed under the name uncultured bacterium. Its description in RNAcentral is "partial 16S ribosomal RNA". It matches the Rfam family "Bacterial small subunit ribosomal RNA", at positions 28 to 507 of the family's 1533-position model. The record is from RNAcentral.